AGACCACCAUAUUGAAGGAACCUA
This 24-nucleotide non-coding RNA is filed under the name Arabidopsis thaliana (thale cress). The record is from RNAcentral. Lineage: Eukaryota; Viridiplantae; Streptophyta; Magnoliopsida; Brassicales; Brassicaceae.